Long non-coding RNA from Equus caballus (horse), 5420 nucleotides. Lineage: Eukaryota; Metazoa; Chordata; Mammalia; Perissodactyla; Equidae. The record is from Ensembl.
UUUGACUGUUUAUAUUUCCUGCUAUACAUAUUUCACAUACUAUUUUCUUAUAAAUUCUAAUUUGUUACCUUCUGAAUUUAACUAGAAGUUUUAGAAUAUUUUAACUUUCCUUUUCUACCUUCUUUUCUUGUUCAGAUACUUGAGAUCUAGACUUUUAGUUACAUCUUAUCUACCACCUAUUGAAUUUUUUAUGUUAAUCAUAAUUUUAUUUAUUUAAAUAAAUUUGCCAAGUACUGUGCUCAUCCUUGCAUCAAGCAUCUUAUUUCUUCUUUCUGGGUUUCCUAUUAUAGUCAUUUUUGAAUAAGCAUCUUCGGUUAAGAUCAACUAGGUAAAAUAUUGUAGACUGACAGGUAUUUCUCCUUUUGCUUUGACACCACCAUCUAUUGCUACUGACUGGGAAUCUCUUGUCAGUAUAUUUGCUGUUAUUCCAUGGAAAAAUCUGCUUUAUGAUUUUCCCCUACAAAUAGACAUAUUUUUAUUUUAUCUUAUUAAUAUUUAGCAUUUUAACUAUCCCUUUUUGGUCUUGUUUGCUAUCAUUUUUCAAUCUAAAUGUCUCUUCAAUUCUAGAAUAGUUUCCACCAUUAUCUUUUAAAAUAAUAAAUCUCAUAUUUCUUCUUUCUCUAUUUCACAGCCUCUAGGUGCCCUAACUUAUGUUUUAUUUCCUGUCUCUAUAUCUAACUGACAGUUUUCUUCCAAGGGUAUUCCCCGUGAUUCCUGGUUUAUGGCUGUCUCUCCAAGAGGAUGUCGUCUUUGCUGUUGAAAAGGCUUGUCAGAUGGUCCCAAACAGGAAACAGGAAGCUCUACCACCCAAACUUCAGAAGAAAUGAAUCACAUGAAUGGAAAGUUUGCAUAAAGCACUUGAGCUGUGGGGGCUGGCCCCGUGGCCGAGUGGUUAAGUUCGCGCGCUCCGCUGCAGGCGGCCCAGUGUUUCGUCGGUUCGAAUCCUGGGCGCGGACAUGGCACUGCUCGUCAGACCACGCUGAGGCAGCGUCCCACAUGCCACAACUAGAGGAACCCACAACGAAGAAUACACAACUAUGUACCCGGGGGGCUUUGGGGAGUAAAAGGAUUCUCUUAAGUGAUAUCACUUUUACAGUUGUUUGUCAUGUCAUUUACAGUCAUGUGGGGUUAGCAUAGAAGUUGCGAGUUGAACUAGCAGCUUUUGUUUUUAUGGAAAAUAAUAUUUACUUAAAAGAAUGACUGAGACAAAGUACAGCUUUGCUUAUUUCUAGGCAUCUUCUCAACAAUGAACAAAGUAAGCCUGCCACUUCAAAGAAAACAAUAGUAUGUUUUGAUCUAGAAUAUAAUGUGCUCAGAGCAGUACUUCCCCCUCCUCAGUUCUGCUCAGGAUGAAAGAAUUUAAGUAUUUUGUCCCAAUUUGUACUGCCAGCACAUAUUUGUGUGAAUUGUAGUCUCUAUUAUUUUUCGCUAAAAUUCCCAAUAUCGGAAGAGAAAAUUGACAUACUAUUGCUCUUGUAAUUUCUAGAAUUACACGUGUGAGCAUGCAAGUAUCAGAAAUAAGAAUGAUGAAACAAAUUAGAUAGCAUUUUUAUCCUAGAAAAUACAAAUAUCUGGGCCCCACACUCAGAGAUUCUGAAUUAGUCAUGGUGAGUUGUUUUCUUUUUUUCAUUAAAUACCCUAGGUAAUUGUAAUGUUAGUCAAGAUUGGCCUACAUUGUGGUUUCCCUGUCGAGUAAUUAUGCUAUUUAAGGUAACAAUAAUAAAAUCUUCGUUAAAUUUCAUUGCAUCUACAAGUAUCUCAGAUCCCUGUACACUACACAGGUUUUUCCUUAAUUCAUCAUUGAAAGAAUUUAAUGUCCUUGCAAAUGUAUCUUUUAUGCAGUGAUCAGUUAAUUAUUACUUCCAUGAUCUGAAGCCCUUUGAAGACAGCUAAUUUCCCAAUUUCCCAAGAAGUAUGGUUGCUAGACUGCUUCCAAAGGAUGACUGGAUGUGAUUAAAAAUGUGCAAUUGCAAGCCACUAGUCUCAGUUACAUAACUUAUCAACCUAUGCAUCUUUACUGCACACUGUAAAUUGCAGCCAAACACUCCACUUCGAUUGAUUGGAAUAUCUAAGAGUUAUAAUCGCCUUAGCAAAAGCAAAUUUGUGGCUUAGCAGAGAAUCUUCAUUCUUUAAGCAAAGAUGCUAACCAAAUUAUCUCUCUCCUGACAAAAAAGAAAUCAAAUGAAAUAUUUCAAGUUUGAUUAGCUAUUUAACUUUUUGAAAUGCAUAGAUAAUAUUUAUAUUCUACACAAAGCUAACAUUAAAUGCUUAUAGCUCUAAUGGCAUAGGAUAUACAUAAUGUAUAUUCAUGAAUUAGUCGCACAAUACUUAAAUGCAUCAAUAAGUAACAGUUUUGCAUUCUAUAACAUACAAACAUUCAUUUACUGAUAGUUUGUUGAUCCAUUUGCAAUUCUUCUACUGUUUAUUUAGACCUAAUUUCCAUAUUCUUCCUGAUAUGUAAACACGCUACCCUAUUAAUUUAACUUCAGAAUUCCAGUUCACUAGACAGCUUAAUGCCCUUGUUACACAAUUGCUCUUGUUCUUUGUACUAAAACUGCAAUUUUAUGAAUUCUUGUAGUAAGUAUGAAUAUAGAUUUACUAAUGAAGUAAAGCUAUUAAUAUGUGAAUGCAUUCAACUCCUGAGAGUGCAUACUUAAUGGAACAUACAGUCAACUAAUAUACUAGAAAAACUUUGAGGAUGAGAUUAACUAUCUGUGUGCAAUUUAAGCUUUUACUUGGGAAAUACACAUUUCUAUCAAAUUAGCUGAACCUACUCUUUUAAAAAAGGUAUACAAAUUUAAAUGAAAAAAACUAGGAAUUCUAGGAGAUACAGAUUUUAACCAUACUAAAAAGAAAGUGAGGCACUUCUGGCAUUACAAUUUAUCUUAGUUUGCAAAACUGAAAAUUUGAGACAGUUGUUUACUGAAUAUAGAGAAUAUGUGACAGAAUCCAUGGGUGUGUAUCAUAGUAGUGGUUAAAUAGCAGGCAUGAAAAACGACUAUCCAAGCUGGUGACUGCAUAAAUUUGUUGAGUGUCUCCCAAAAGAGAAAUUUAACUUAAGAAUCACAGAUGCAAGUUAAACAAGUUCAUAGUUCUUCUUAAGGAAUUAUUUAUAAUAAUUUUUAGUCAUAUAUCAAUUUACCUUCUUGGAGUAAAACUGUCACCCAGAUUUUGUUUAUCUAUUUGUAAGUCCAUGAGAGCACAAUGUCCACCUUAACUUGUACAUACCUUUGUAAACUAGGAUAUAUUUAUUUCCUGUAGUAUUAAAAUGUAAAAUAUAAUUAAAUAAUGCUUAAAAUAUUUGACCGUGUGUAUGUAAUAUCAGUUGAGGAAAGCGAGUUCCUCAGAAGAAAAUAACUUACCCAAUUCUGUGAUGAGUAAGUCAGGACAGGAAUACAUCUACUUCUAAAGUCCUUGGCUGUUACAGGACACACUAUGACAAAUCAACUAAGGGAAAAUCUUUUGGAGUAGUGAAGAGAUUGUACUGUGCUUUUAGCUCUACCAUAGAUUAUAGGAAUCUAUUAUGCUUUGGAUUUUUUCCCCAUAUUUAGUGUCAAGUGGUUAGACAAGUUUACCAAAAUAUUUUGCAUAUAGAAUCUAUUCUAGACUACAAAAAUACAUGUUCAAUAAAUAUGUUAUUUCUUGUCCUUUCAAACUCUCUAAUGGUUCCUAAGCAACUGUUUCACUUGGUAACUAAGAUUUCCAUUUAAAUACACCUUAAUAAGUGUAUAAGUUGCAUUACUGAUAUUUUUAUUUAAGGCAUUGUAUACAAGAUGUCAGAUGAGCCACCAAGCAAUUUAAAGUUAAAAAAAAUAAUUUUGAUCAGUUGCUGUGUUUUCUAAUCUAAUAGCUCUUUUUGAAUUAUUGACAAGGAAAUCCUCUCUCACCAUUCCUCUUCAACAAUGUACUAGAAACCAUAGCUAUUACAAUAAGACAAGUUAAAAGAAUGAGGGGUGUACAGCUUGGAAAAGGGAGAAAUAAAACUGCGCUUAUUCAUAGAUGUCAUGAUUAUUUAUGUAGAAAAUGCUAAAGAAGCUACAAAAAAUUUCUAGUAUAAUAAGUGAAUAUAGCAAAAUCACAGGAUAUAACAUUAAUAUACAAAAUUCAAUUGUUUUUCUACUUCCCAACAAUGAACAAUUGGAAUUUAAAAUAUAAAAUAACUACCAGUUAAAUUAAUACUAUAAGGCAAAAGACGUGGAAUAGGGGCCGGCCCCAUGGCCCAGUGGUUAAGUUCACAGACUGUGCUUCGGUGGCCCAGGGUUUCGCCAGUUCGGAUCCUGGAUGUGGACAUGGCACCGCUCAUCUAAGCAAUGCUGAGGCGGCAUCCCACAUGCCACAACUAGAAGGACCCACAGCUGAAAAUACACAACCAUGUACUGGGGGGCUUUGGGGAGAAAAAGGGAAAAUUUUAAAAAUUAAAAAAAAUAAAAUAACCAAAACAAUACUGAAGCAGAUGAACAAAGUUGGAGAAGCCACAAUACUCUCUCAAUAAUUUCUAAAAAGUUUAGUAAUAAAGACACUGUGGUACUGGCAAAAUAAUGGACACAUAGAACAAUGCAAGAUAAUGGAGAGCCAAGAAAACAAACCUGCACAAAUAUAGCCAAAUGAUUUUUUAUAAAGGCAGAGGUAUUACCGAAACCAAAGUGGGUUCACCUCCCUGUGAGUCAAAUAAAACUCUCCACCAGAAGUAGUUGUCUCACAAAGUAAAGUAUAUUUGCAGAAAAUAGGAAACCAUGUGGAAUCAUUCCCAAAGUCAUGGCUUCCCCAAACAAAGGGAAGCCGGUACUUUUCAUUUCGGAUGGGGAAUUAAUAUUCAAAAGGGAGAGGUGGGUAUUUGUUUGCACAGACUUGGCUGGAAAACAUGCUUCCUCAUACACUGCAGGUUAUGGAAAUAAGGCCUAAACUCCUCCAGGGGAGAUCUUAUCCUUAAAAGUAGGCAAAGGUCAUAGGCUUAGCUCUUGUGGUGAGACUUGGUCUGGCUCAGGGAGGUUGGUGAUUGCAUCUCCGUAACAUAACAAGAGAGAAAAGAAUACAAUUCGGAAAAACAGUUAAAUGCUUCCAAACCCACCCUUGAUUUCCUCAGGGCAAUUAGUCGGUGACAGAGGGACAAAUCAAUAGAGAAAGGACAGUCAUCUCAACAAAUGGUGCUGGAACAAUUGUAAGUCAACAUGCAAAAAAAAAAAGAACUUAAAUACAGACCUUACACUUCUCAAAAAAGUUAAUUUAAAAUGCAUGAGUGACUUAAAUGUAAAAGGCCAAACUAUAAAAUGUCUAGAGGGAAACGCUACAUUAUCUUGGUGAUGAGGGUUUAGAUACAACACCAAAAGCAUGAUACAUGAAAAAAAAUUGAUAAAUUGCACUAUAUUAGAAUUAACAUUUAUGCUCUAUAAAAGAGAUAGUUAAGAGAAUGAAAAGACAAG